Molecule: ribosomal RNA, 753 nt
Filed under: uncultured bacterium
Lineage: Bacteria
Description: bacterial SSU rRNA
Rfam family: Bacterial small subunit ribosomal RNA
Source: RNAcentral
CGAUUAGAGUUUGAUUCUGGCUCAGGAUGAACGCUAGCGGGAGGCUUAACACAUGCAAGUCGAGGGGUAAAUGGCAGCAAUGCUAUGAGACCGGCGGACGGGUGCGUAACGCGUAUGCAACAUACCUUGUGCAGGGGGAUAGCCCGUGGAAACGCGGAUUAAUAUUCCAUAGUCCAGCUAUAUCGCAUGGUAUAGUUGGUAAAGAUUUAUCGGCACAAGUUUGGCAUGCGUCUGAUUAGCUUGUUGGUAGGGUAACGGCCUACCAAGGCUACGAUCAGUAGGGGUUCUGAGAGGAUUAACCCCCACACUGGUACCGAGACACGGACCAGACUCCUACGGGAGGCAGCAGUGAGGAAUAUUGGUCAAUGGGCGGAAGCCUGAACCAGCCAUCCCGCGUGAAGGAAGACAGCCUUACGGGUUGUAAACUUCUUUUCUGUCAGAAGAAUAAGCUUGUCGAGACGAGUGAUGCCGGUAUGACAGGAAUAAGCAUCGGCUAACUCCGUGCCAGCAGCCGCGGUAAUACGGAGGAUGCAAGCGUUAUCCGGAUUUAUUGGGUUUAAAGGGUGCGCAGGUUGUUUGAUAAGUCAGUGGUGAAAGUCUGUCGCUUAACGGUAGGAUUGCCAUUGAUACUGUUGGACUUGAAUAUGGAUGAGGUAGGCGGAAUGUGUAGUGUAGCGGUGAAAUGCAUAGAUAUUACACAGAACACCGAUUGCGAAGGCAGCUUACUAAUCCAUCAUGACGCUGAGGCACGAA